RNAcentral lists this long non-coding RNA (1478 nucleotides) under Anser brachyrhynchus (Pink-footed goose). RNAcentral's name for it is "lncRNA (ENSABRG00000004521.1)". The record is from RNAcentral. Lineage: Eukaryota; Metazoa; Chordata; Aves; Anseriformes; Anatidae.
UUCUGAGACAAGCUGUUGUUGAACAGUGUUGAAGCUAAUGAGACUUGUGUCCUGCUUAUUGUCCUCCAGUGCAUGGGCCUUUUGCAGGCAAAGUGCCCCUACACUAUGGGAAACGUAAAAGUGUUUUUCUUAAACGCAGGUGGAAGAACAAGCAGUCACAUUGUCAGUCACAUCUGACACAAAUAACAGCCAGCCAGGAUGAUUUAUGCUACUGUAUGAUGUGAGAAAUCCUACAUCUUUGGCUGUAUGUGGGGCCUACUCCAACCAAUAAGGUACAAUGGCUUUGAACGAUCUUCAGGACUUCUGGACUGAACACAGCAGAGACCCAACAUGUCUGAAGUUUCUGAGUCCCACUGUAAGGCACAAAUAUGAUGAUCUUCUUAAAGUGGGUUGGUUUUUCUUUUUCAACCCUUCUGGUUCUUGCAACAUUUUUACCUUUUCAAUGCUUAACUUACUGUCUACUGCAACAAUGCAUUGAAAAUGCUGAAAAGGAGUGAAUACCAAUAGGAAGCUUCACAGGAGACGUUGUUAUCAGGAGGUAUGUUGCUGGUAGUAACCAUGGAAACUCGUUUAGGAUGACCUGAAGUAGUCUAAGGAUAAGUAAUACAAUGAAAGCAAGCACAGAGAAAUUUAGACUGCUUAGUAGGGAAAAUUCAGCUCUUUAUGUUGUAUCCUGUUAAACAACAUGAAAUGCUACUAGGGAACAUUAAGAUGCAUGAGGUAAUUUAAAAUUAUUUUGGACAAUGGAAUUUGAGAUUCUCUUGUAGGAAAGUCUUUUGGCAGGAGAAGGGCUCUGUUGAUCUCAGAUUCAUUUCAGAUAACAUUAAUUACAAAUUUCAUAAUUCCAUGAGUCUUGCUCUAUACCAGUAACUUUCUCAGUUCAAGUACUAAGUGUCUCACAUAUAUCUUUAUGAAUCAACACUGGAAAUCCCUGUUCACUGAUGAUAAUCCCACUCUUCUGGAAAAUCUUGAUUGAAGGAGGAGACAUUUCAGAGACUAAGCCAACAACGUGCUGCUUUAGCAAGUAUGUAAAUUAAAUAGAUAUUUCUUAAGCUGAGGCCUGUAAGUGGGACUAAAACAACUGAUUUUCUCCUAGUUUACAGCAAGUGAGGGACAAGAAAUAAUUUAGUUAGAAACUUGAGUUUGAAUAAGAAGUUAUUUGGUUAGAAAUAAUUUCAUAGUCAUUCGACUACUUACUUUGCAUUUGUAUUCCAUUUCAGAGAGUCUGUGAAAAGGAAGUACAAGAAAUAAGUAAAUGGAAAUGUAAAGUAAAAUUCAGAUGUAGAUGAGUAAAUACAAAUACAUUGAAAGCUGGCAAAAUGAGGUGAGACAAAAUUUUAAGAUAUACUAAUUUACCCUACACAAGCUACUUACUGGUACCAAUAAGCUUGUUCUUCCAUCCUUGUUAUGCUCAGUUUGAUUUUGCUUUGGCACCUUUGCUCUCUUGCUAACCCUGUUUUAAGGAUACAGUUUUAAAC